UGGCACUUAUAUUUAUAAGUCUAUAUACAUCAGUAUGUAUUAGACCUAAGACAUCAUUAGCUCUUUCACCUUUUUCCUUAAAAGGUGAUUUAGUCAUCUUAGCAAGCAGAUAGGAUUCACAAGUUGGUAAUGAUUCACAAUCAUCUAUUUCAAGGACAUGCUUUUUGAUUAACCUGUCAAUCCUGUUUUUGCUCACAUGAUCAAGCCUACAAUGCCA
This 217-nucleotide long non-coding RNA is filed under the name Elaeis guineensis (African oil palm). RNAcentral's name for it is "long non-coding RNA (EGUI_LNC049517)". Lineage: Eukaryota; Viridiplantae; Streptophyta; Magnoliopsida; Arecales; Arecaceae. The record is from RNAcentral.